UUAAGUGAAUAAGGGCGUACGGUGGAUGCCUAGGCACUUGGAACUGAAGAAGGACGCAACAAACGGCGAAACGCGACGGGGAGUGGUACGUACACAAAGAUCCGUCGAUAUCCGAAUGGGGAAACCCGGCAGCAGUAAUGAGCUGUCACCCAUGAGUGAAUACAUAGCUCAUGAGGGAGGUACCCGGAGAACUGAAACAUCUAAGUAUCCGGAGGAAAAGAAAAUAAGAAUGAUUCCGUAAGUAGCGGCGAGCGAACGCGGAGGAGCCCAAACCAGAUCUUGAUCUGGGGUUGUAGGACCACGAAAUGGCAAGAGCAUGGCUAAGAGAACGGCAUUGAAAGGCCGACCGGAGAGGGUGCAAGUCCCGUAACUGAAAGCAAUGUGAAGCCUAGUGGUAUCCUGAGUACGGCGAGACACGAGAAAUCUUGUCGGAAGCAGGCGGGACCAUCCGUCAAGGCUAAAUAUACCCAAGUGACCGAUAGUGAACCAGUACCGUGAGGGAAAGGUGAAAAGAACCGCGGGAGCGGAGUGAAAUAGAACCUGAAACCGUAUGCUUACAAGAAGUCAGAGCCCGUUAAAGGGUGAUGGCGUGCCUUUUGUAGAAUGAACCGGCGAGUUACGUUAUCGUGCGAGGUUAAGUAGAAGAUACGGAGCCGAAGCGAAAGCGAGUCUUAAUAGGGCGACAGUACGAUGAUGUAGACCCGAAACCGUGUGAUCUAGCCAUGACCAGGUUGAAGUUCAGGUGAAACUGAAUGGAGGACCGAACCGACCCCCGUUGAAAAGUUGGCGGAUGAGUUGUGGCUAGGGGAGAAAUUCCAAUCGAACACGGAUAUAGCUGGUUCUCCCCGAAAUAGCUUUAGGGCUAGCGUCGAGGUAGAGUCGCAUGGAGGUAGAGCACUGAAUGUACGAUGGCCCCAUCCCGGGGUACUGAGUAUAAUCAAACUCCGAAUGCCAUGCAGACAUACUCGGCAGUCAGACUGUGGGUGAUAAGGUCCAUGGUCAAAAGGGAAACAGCCCAGACCGCCAGUUAAGGUCCCAAAAUGUAUGCUAAGUGGAAAAGGAUGUGGGGAUGCACAGACAACUAGGAGGUUGGCUCAGAAGCAGCCAUCCUUCAAAGAGUGCGUAACAGCUCACUAGUCGAGUGACCCUGCGCCGAAAAUGUACCGGGGCUAAGCAUACUACCGAAGCUGCGGAUUCAACUUCAGAGUUGAGUGGUAGGGGAGCGUUGCAUGCACGUAGAAGCCGUACCGUAAGGAGCGGUGGAGAGCAUGGAAGAGAGAAUGCCGGUGUGAGUAGCGAGAUGUAGGUGAGAAUCCUACACACCGAUAGCCCAAGGAUUCCAGGGGAAGGUUCGUCCGCCCUGGGUAAGUCGGGACCUAACGCGAGGCCGAAAGGCGUAGUGGAUGGAAAACAGGCAGAUAUUCCUGUACCCGCGAUGGAAAUGAAGGAAUGACGGAGAAGGCUAGUGUGAGCCACUGAACGGAUUGUGGUCGAAGCAUAUAGCAGGCUGACAGUGAAAUGCGUCAGCGGGAUGUAAGAUGUGACAGGUAAGGGAACGUCCUCGGACAAGUACUGAAGCACAUGAUGCCAGCUUCCAAGAAAAGUUUCUAGUGAUAAUUCCAUAGCGGCCCGUACCAAAACCGACACAGGUGGGCAAGGAGAGAAUCCUGAGGUGAGCGAGAGAACUGUUGCCAAGGAACUCGGCAAAAUGACUCCGUAAGUUAGCGAUAAGGAGUGCUCUUGUAAAAGAGAGCCGCAGUGAAGAGGCCCAAGCGACUGUUUAACUAAAACACAGCUCUCUGCAAAGUCGCAAGACGAAGUAUAGGGGGUGACGCCUGCCCGGUGCUGGAAGGUUAAGAGGAUUUGUCAUCCGCAAGGAGAAGCAAUGAAUUGAAGCCCCAGUGAACGGCGGCCGUAACUAUAACGGUCCUAAGGUAGCGAAAUUCCUUGUCAGGUAAG
Molecule: ribosomal RNA, 1959 nt
Filed under: human gut metagenome
Description: bacterial LSU rRNA
Rfam family: Bacterial large subunit ribosomal RNA
Source: RNAcentral